GAGUUUGAUCAUGGCUCAGGACGAACGCUGGCGGCGUGCUUAACACAUGCAAGUCGAGCGGUGACCCUCCUUCGGGAGGUGAUCAGCGGCGAACGGGUGAGUAACACGUGGGCAACCUGCCCCUAACACUGGGAUAACCUCGGGAAACCGGGGCUAAUACCGGAUACGACCUCGAGCGGCAUCUCUUGAGGUGGAAAGCUCCGACGGUUAGGGAUGGGCCCGCGGCCUAUCAGCUUGUUGGUGGGGUAAUGGCCUACCAAGGCGACGACGGGUAGCCGGCCUGGGAGGGCGACCGGCCACACUGGGAUUGAGACACGGCUUAGACUCCUACGGGAGGCAGCAGUGGGGAAUAUUGCGCAAUGGGCGAAAGCCUGACGCAGCGACGCCGCGUGAGGGAUGAAGGCCUCGGUUGUAACCGUACUUUCAGCAGGACGAAGCGAAAGUAGACGGUACCUGCAGAAGAAGACAUGGCUAACUAACGUGCCAGCCGCCG
This 493-nucleotide ribosomal RNA is filed under the name uncultured bacterium. RNAcentral's name for it is "bacterial SSU rRNA". It matches the Rfam family "Bacterial small subunit ribosomal RNA", at positions 9 to 517 of the family's 1533-position model. The record is from RNAcentral.